UCAAUAAAUAGAGGCUAGCAU
Molecule: non-coding RNA, 21 nt
Filed under: Mus musculus (house mouse)
Lineage: Eukaryota; Metazoa; Chordata; Mammalia; Rodentia; Muridae
Source: RNAcentral